RNAcentral lists this unclassified non-coding RNA (425 nucleotides) under soil metagenome. RNAcentral's name for it is "partial contains 5.8S ribosomal RNA, internal transcribed spacer 2, and large subunit ribosomal RNA". The stretch from base 1 to 120 matches the Rfam family "5.8S ribosomal RNA", at positions 35 to 154 of the family's 154-position model. The record is from RNAcentral.
GAUGAAGAACGUAGCGAAAUGCGAUAAGUAGUGUGAAUUGCAGAAUUCCGUGAAUCAUCGAAUCUUUGAACGCACAUUGCGCCUUCUGGUAUUCCGGAAGGCAUGCCUGUUCGAGAGUCAUUAACAACCGUUUCGAUCCCUUUCUUUCAGAAAUUACAAAGAGGAAAAGGGUUUGGUUAUGGUGGAGGAGGGAAAGGGAGCGUUUAGCCUGUAAAAAAAGAGGCUGUGUUCCGCCUCCCCCCCAAAAUUGUACAGGCGGUCGUGUGCGCCCACGCAUCGAGGUGUUGUAAAAGCUGCCACGGCACUUUUCACCUGUGCAGUGCGAGAUUGGCCAGCCGGUUUAAAAACCCCUCCAAACCAUCAAAGGUUGACCUCGGAUCAGGUAGGGAUACCCGCUGAACUUAAGCAUAUCAAUAAGCGGAGGA